This 253-nucleotide ribosomal RNA is filed under the name uncultured bacterium. RNAcentral describes it as "partial 16S ribosomal RNA". It matches the Rfam family "Bacterial small subunit ribosomal RNA", at positions 524 to 776 of the family's 1533-position model. The record is from RNAcentral.
UACGUAGGGGGCAAGCGUUGUCCGGAAUCAUUGGGCGUAAAGCGCGUGUAGGCGGCUUGGUAAGUCCGCUCUGAAAGCCCGGGGCUCAACCUGGGAACCGCGCUUGAGACUGGAGAACUAGAGUUCGGGAGAGGAUGGUGGAAUUCCCAGUGUAGAGGUGAAAUUCGUAGAUAUUGGGAAGAACACCGAUGGCGAAGGCAGCCAUCUGGACCGACACUGACGCUGAGGCGCGAAAGCGUGGGGAGCAAACAGG